Molecule: transfer-messenger RNA, 357 nt
Filed under: Desulfovibrionaceae
Lineage: Bacteria; Pseudomonadati; Thermodesulfobacteriota; Desulfovibrionia; Desulfovibrionales
Also listed under: 1 other name
Description: Desulfohalovibrio sp000422205 Standard tmRNA
Rfam family: transfer-messenger RNA
About the family: Bacterial tmRNA, also known as 10Sa RNA or SsrA, is named for its dual tRNA and mRNA-like properties. Its role is to liberate the mRNA from a stalled ribosome.
Source: RNAcentral
GGGGGCGCACCGGUUUCGACGGGGACAGUCGAGGCCGGAGUUGCAGGCCGAGGCGCCGCUGGCCUCGUUAAAAGCGGCACCUGAAAUAGUCGCCAACGACUACGAUUACGCCCUGGCUGCUUAGUUGCGGUCACGUUGAAACGGUGGACGCCAGAUAACCCGUUUCGGCGCAAAAAAACAUCUGACUAGCUCAACGAGUCGGUCCGUUGCCCGGAGAGCGAAACAACAGACGGUCUAGGUUUCCUGGUUGCCGUGAGUGGGGGCGUUCCAGGGAAUGACGACAAAACCCAAUCUAAGCCUGUAGAUGCUCCGUCCAAGCGUUCUCGGACGCGGGUUCAAUUCCCGCCGCCUCCACCA